AUGAUGGCUUCAUCCCUCGUGUCUGACACGUGCCUCCGGUCCUUCCUCUUGGCCGACUCUCUUGCCCGUUGUUCGGGCGUCGGCGCCUUCUUCGGCUUGGGCGUGGCGGUCUUGCGGGGGGCGCGAGGCUUGGCUUUGCCGGAGGGGACGGUCGGCAUGCCGGACGAGGCGAGGGAGGCGAGGCCGACGGCGGCGGCGUGGUCAUCGUCCAUGGCACCACAGGAGGAGGCCGGCCAUGGCGACACCGGAUCUGGCAUCUCCGGGGUCCUCUACAAGUGGGUCAACUACGGCCGCGGGUGGCGGCCCCGCUGGUUCGCGCUCAGCGACGGCGUGCUCUCCUACUACAAGAUCCACGGGCCCGACCGCAUCGACCUCUCCCGCGACACCGACCGCGGCGCCAAGGUCAUCGGCGAGGACUCGCUCCGCCGCCUCGCGCGCCCCUCCUUCGCCUCCGCCCCCCACUCCAACGGCCACGGCCACCACCAGACGCCCCGCAAGCCCCUCGGCGAAAUCCACCUCAAGGUGUCGACCGUCAGAGAGAGAAGAUCGGACGACAGGAGGUUCUCCAUCUUCUCGGGGACCAAGAGGCUGCACCUGCGGGCCGAGACGAGGGAGGACAGGGCCGCGUGGCUCGAGGCGCUCCGUGCCACCAAGGAGAUGUUCCCGAGGAUGUCCACCAGCGAGAUGGUCGGGUCGGGGGACACUGCGGCGGCCGCGGCGGUCUCCACCGAGCGCCUGAAGAAGCGCCUGCAGCAGGAAGGGGUCAGCGAUGCUGCCAUUGCUGACAGCGAGAGGAUCGUGCGGGAGGAGUUCGAAGCGCUGCACAAGCAGCUUGUGCUUCUCAAGCAGAAGCAGGCGCUAUCCUUGACACGCUCCGCCACCUAG
Molecule: ribosomal RNA, 885 nt
Filed under: Triticum aestivum (bread wheat)
Lineage: Eukaryota; Viridiplantae; Streptophyta; Magnoliopsida; Poales; Poaceae
Description: partial small subunit ribosomal RNA
Source: RNAcentral